RNAcentral lists this ribosomal RNA (397 nucleotides) under uncultured soil bacterium. RNAcentral's name for it is "bacterial SSU rRNA". It matches the Rfam family "Bacterial small subunit ribosomal RNA", at positions 26 to 424 of the family's 1533-position model. The record is from RNAcentral.
AGAUUGAACGCUGGCGGCAUGCCUAACACAUGCAAGUCGAACGGGAGUAGCAAUACUCUAGUGGCGGACGGGUGAGGAAUACGUAGGAAUUUGCCCUUAAGUGGGGGAUAACCCGGGGAAACCCGGAUUAAUACCGCAUGACCUCGAAAGAGCAAAGUGGGGGAUCGCAAGACCUCACGCUUUUGGAGAAGCCUACGUCGGAUUAGCUAGUUGGUGAGGUAAUGGCUCACCAAGGCGACGAUCCGUAACUGGUCUGAGAGGAUGAUCAGUCACACCGGAACUGAGACACGGUCCGGACUCCGUACGGGAGGCAGCAGGUGGGGAAUAGUUGGACGAAGUGGGCGACAAGCCUGAUCCGAGCAAGUCGCCGCGUGUGUAGGAAGAGGUCCGUUAGGGU